UCUUUUAAGAUAUUCAGGAGAUAAUUAAAAUUCAAAAUGUUAACGGUGCUACUUAUUUUUAGAACCCGACAUAAAUAUGGGCAGACGAAGAUUUGAAAAUAAAUUAAUAGACCAGAGUGCUCUCAACCACUGUGGUAAAAACGUUGGCAGACACCUGUUGUAACCCUCCUUUGUGCAGUCUGCUCAGGGAAGAAAAUCUCCCUCCAUGUCUCGUGGGGCAUUCCCACCUGCCAGUGCUGGGAGCAGCAGAGGGUGAUACCUUGGUGCAGAAUGCGAGACACUUCUCUUCCUUAACUCAGACACUACCAAACCCCAGUAAAAUGUUCUGUCAUCUCACAGUGGCAGAAAUCUGUCUUGAAACUUCAAUAAAAGUCAGCAGCACGCUUGAGCUAAAGUUGGUUAAAUGUGUGAGGAAGGUGCCCUCUGUAAGCACUUUUUACCAUUCUGUUAUGCAGCCACGGUGCCAGGUUGUCUUUUUUGAGCAGUUAUUCAAACUUUAUGUCGAAAGGGGAAGGUGAUUUCUAGCUCAUGUAUUUGGUGUCUGCUUUACAAACCCAGGUGGUUCGUGGAUUAGUUUCUAAGUAAAAUACUGUUUUCUGAGGGUCCCGCAUAAGUGCACAUUGAAUCUCUCGAUCCUCAGUAAACUCCACUACUGCAGGACCCUUAGUGCCAGUAUAGUAUAUUGUCUGUGUAUGUAUUUUUAGCCUGCUGAGAGUGCUACACAGCCCCUUCUGAAUUGUGCUAACCCUUUUUCAUAGCACACCACAACUCAUCUAUUUACUUCUACAUUGCCCCCAUCCCGUAAUUUUAUAUUACCAGCUUCACAAGCAAGCAGAUUUUUGUGCCUAAGAUGGGAUGUAGGCAAAAAACAGCAGUCAAAGAGCAACACCCAAUCUCCUCACUUGUGCAAGCUAUGCCUAACCAUGGUAAUCACGAACUGCUUACCAACAAGUUGCAGCAUUUCUGUAUGCCUGUCAUCUACAUUCACCUUUAUCAUGCCUUACAUGAAAGCAUAAUUGCAGUUCCAGAGCUGAACUCCUCAUGUGGGCUCCUGGUUUAAGCUGAAAGAAGUCAAGAUUUCUUUGGUCAGAAAGAAGGAGCAAAGUGGUGUUUGGUUGCUUAGCCUUAUGACCGAGGAUGAGGGAGGCCUACGUAUCACGUUUGAAGACUGCUGAAGUCUUGUAGCUAAGGACCAUUCAAAGAUGAACUCCUGACUUUCCCUAACGGCUAGUGUAGGUGCCUCUUUGUUCAGCUUUGGUGCUUCCAAGACACCUUGUUAAGGUGUUUGGCUUAAGGUGUUGUGAAUGGAUUCUUCUUUGGGGCUCAGAGAUUGCAAAGUUGCCCACAAUGCUCCAGCACAAAUCAACGGGGUCUGAGGCUGUCAUCCUGGCCUGGCUAUCCACCCUCACAUCAAAUUCAUCAUCGACUGCAACCUGAGAAGGUUGCAGGGAAGGUGGUUGCCAAAGCACAGAGGCUCACACAAGGAAGCAGGCUGGAAGCAGGGACACGUGGCUCUAGGGCUGGAUGGGUCAAGACCAGCCCUGCUGGAGAUGGGACAAAGUGCCCCAUGGCUCAUGGCAUGAGAUCAGCCUCCGUGCCUCGCCUGUGGCCACACGCACUGAUGGCAGAGCAGAGACAGAAACCUGGAUCCAGAAGUCCAGAGGGCUGAGAUGUGGCCAGCUUUUGAGGCUUUGGAGAAGGCAGUCUUGUUUUAACUCAGCUUGUGAUUUCAGGGCAUGUUCAAGAAGCGGUUUGCAAAUCCAGAGUGGCUUCUAACAGCACCCCGGGCCUUUGAUCUCUGACUCUUGCAGAGAAGAACUUCAGAACCUGUGAAAGCUGAGAGAAACCACCCCUGUCGCUACCUGGUGCUCACCAGCUUCACCAGCAGAGUUGCCCCAGGAGCGGUGAAACAUAUCGAGUUUUAUCUGCGGGAUGAGUGUGAAAGGACGAGAAGAACAACUUCUCAUGAAUGAAGAAUCAUCCAGGUUUGUAAGAACUUUCUCGACAGUCCUAAGAGCAGCACUGGGCUGAAGUAACUGCAGCAGCAUCGUGGUUUGUCUCUUUGCAGCCUGAGGUCUGCCUGACUGUCUCCUGCCGUGGAUAGUAACUGAUAAAUAUUCGCUGUUAAAAGCGGUUCAGCGUUCUUGGGGAUCUUUCUUAGUCAGCCUGACCACCUCAGGUUGAACAGCUCUCAGAUUUUGGUUUACACACGGCAGCUUUGUUACAGAAAUAAAGGACUAGUCAAAAGCACCUCCAUACACGCCCAUGUUUAAAGGAAAGUAAAACCAGUGCAGUGCUGGGGCUGUAAUAAUCAGUCGUGUACACAUUAUGGUCAGCCCUGGUUGACCACGUGGUAGUAAACAGUCAUCUGGAAAUGGGUGUUUGAGGUUUGCAGGGAGGUGUUAUCAGUACUUGCAAUGUUACAUUCUGCACAACAGAGCGUUUUUCCCAUCAGUUGGGUCCAGGAUGAAGUGUGUGCAAGAUCUGUCUAGCUGCUUCACCAGUGUUGUUCAUUAUUUUCUUUUUGGUUGAGCUGAUACAAGUAUGAGUGAAUCUCACUAAAUGACUCCCCUUUGAAAGUGGCUGCUGGCCAAUCUGCAGUCAAACAUCCUUCCUGUUCUUUCAUCGAGCUGCAGCGAGUGGGGAGGGGAGCAAAGCCGUGCAGGGCUGCUCGGGACUCAUGUGAAGCAACAUGCCACGCUGCAGAACAUUAGGAUUUGGGGAGUGGUGCCCCAGGCAUUCGUUUUCUCCUGGUCUUCAUCUUGCUUUUUUUGUUUUUUCCCUAUUUGCCAUAUCUGCAUUUUGUUUGGGUUUUCAGCUACUAGAUUCACCAUGUUCUAAUGAAACAUGAUUUCUGGUCUUUUGUCAGAGCUCUGGGGGUUUGUUGGUCCUUUUGGGUUUUGCGUUUCUUUUGUUUUCAGCUCAGUUUGUUUUGUUUGAAUUUUUGUUGGGAAGAGGUUGUUUAUCUGAUUUAUUGGACUGGGGUGUUGCUCGAGGAGGAUUUUGCCAUGCCAGUGUCUUUUCCCUUUUUCCAAAUUGCAGUUCCCACCAGUAUGUUAUUUCAGUCUUAACUGAAGAUUUUCUCUCUGGCCAAAGAGAAUGUGAUUUAUGUUAUCUGCUCCGUGACAUAAGAAAUUGUGCAUUGUGACCCUGGGAUAGGACUGUGCAGUGGUAGCAGUGGGACAGCGAUUCUGGCAGGAGAUGGGAGCAAACAGAGAGGCCGUGUCUCUUCAGACCUGCUCACAGGCACCAACUUUUCCACUUAGGUUUGCCCCCCAAGGUGAAAACUUAGGGAAGGAGCGCUCAGGAGAGCACGGUGCCUCCCUGAGCAUGAAGAGGAGUGAGUGCUUCAACCUUACGCGAUGGAGCCGCCAUCCUGCGUACCUGGUGGGUUCAGGGAGGACAAUUUCACUACUGUGUCCCUGCAGUAUUUAAUGGCUGUGCAAAAUUGCAAGAUUUUUUCUUGUCCUGUCCCAGGAGCCUUAUGCUUGCUGUGCAAGGAUGCUUGCUGUGUGAGGCCACUACCAGUGUGUUGCCCAGGGCCACUCUUCACUUGGCCUGGGGGAAAGCGAAGCUUUCAGUGGCACUCUGUUUCUUUCUGUGCCCUCCAGCCAGCACUGAAAUGCACCCCAACCAAGGACCAGCAGAACAUCCCUGCUGCUGCACUCACAGGAGCUCCAGCCCAACCGCACCAACAUGGACAGCUGCUUGUCACCCCGAGACAAGUUCAGAGAUAAGCACAGGAGGUUCUCAAUUUCAUGGAAGCCAGCUCAGACUAAAAGGCAGCCCCUUCAUUUCAAGAAACCUCAUUUUUCAUUUGUAAAACACUUUCAUUCAGAAAAAAAAUAAUAAGUGGGGGGGGUUGGAAGGGAAGCAGAGUGCUACCUCUCCCCAGCCAUAGCAAAUACACCUGCAGAGCAAUUUCCAUUCUUUGAAAAGAAGUUUUAAAACACGUUUUAAUGGGGCACCAGCAACUCCAGCAGUUGCCUGUUGCUUCCUAACUCCAUUUGCGUGUAAUUUUGUCAAAUGACAACUGUUUGGGCUGGAAUAUUCCAGGUUGGAGUCUGCCCCAGUACAUUAUUUUCUGCCUGGAAAUUUUAAGUGCUAAUCACUUAUCUGGAAGAAAAUAAGCUCUUUUUUCCCCCAUGCUUCAAGAAAUUUGGUGACCUUUCUUUUCGUGCCUCCAGGCUUUGGAAAAAGGAAUUGAAAUGUGACAGGUUUUUGGCUUAUGUGUCAGGAACGUGCUGCUUGCCUGCAAAAAAAAGCUGCAUCCAAUUUUUGCCAAGUUAUAAGCCUCUGAAGAGAAAAUCAUCUUACGAGUGCUCACUAAAGCUGGACUGAUUAAAAAAAAUCCUCUAGAAAUUCUUCCUGUCUUUUUUUCUGGUUUCACAGCUCCUCGUGAGCUUCUCACAGUUCUGCACCCAAGCAAAAGUGAAAUCCAGUGAGGGAAAUGGCUCCCCAGCUCCCCACCAACUACCUGGAACUAGAGGUGGUAGGGUGUGAGAUUGGCCUCCAGGGAGUCUAGAACAAAUGGCAGAGAGAAACAAGGGCAUGGGAGAAGGGAGAGAGAACAAGACCCAAGAGGAUCCAACAGGCAACAAAAGACCAAGUGCCUGGAGCACUGGGGGGACUGUGUGAGAACUCCUCAUGAGGAUGGCAACUUAAAGUACCUCUGCAGCAGGCUGCAACCAAGGGGUCUGGCAAAGUCAGCGUAUCUUGCUGCUCUAGUUAGCUGUCUCUUCCAUUUCUGCUACCUUGAGCUAAGGAAAUAGCCUGCCAAAGUAGGGGUAAUGCAAACCUCACACGGAGAAGACUAAUGUAGAUCUUAACUACAUGGCCUUCAUCAUUUUCUCCUCUAUAAUAUUGGAUGUGAAGUGCAAAAGAAAAAGUAAAAAGCAAAAGAGAAGAAAAACCAACCCAAAGCAAGUCAGAGAUCUGAAACUUUUCUGAUUAAAGAAACUUCCUACGAGAGUUCAAGAGGCACUUUCAGCAGCAGUCUUUGUAAAUAAGUGGGCUCUGUAAAUGAUGAGUGGGUUUGUAAAUAAAGGGAUGAUUGACAAGCUCAACAUCCACCAUGUCAAACAGAGCUACAAAGGAGGCCAGCACCUCUAAAUCAUGGUCCAUGAGGCCUUCCUAAAGCCUGUGAUGUGUGCCAAAACUGCCCCUUACCUCUGCUCUUCUUUUCUAGAUCCACUGAGACACAUCUUGUGGGGUACAGUUGCAUUCCUCAACAUUUUUUGCCUCCUUUUGCACCCACUGAAGAAUUUCCCACUGGCAAGAACUGGUGGCUAAUCACUUCAGGCACAGACUUUGCACAGAAUUAUGGGAUUUCCUCCUUCUUUAAGAUAAUGAACACAAUUGCUCAUAAAAAUGUGUUGUUGGUGUUUUUGAGUGGUAGGUUUUGAUUUAGUUGAUAGGUACGUUUUCAUCAUCACCACCUCAAUCCUGGUCCCACCUCCAAAAAAUGGUGCAGAAGCUUUUCCCUUGUGGCGCUUAUAAGAAUACAGGGGAUCUCGCUUUAAUCCCCAGCUUAGCUAUUACUUCUCCCCUGUGAUCACUAGUGAAUUACUCAGGCCAUUCAAAAGCAACCCUGAGCCUGUGCCUGCCUCCCACUGCUGCCACACAGCCUAGCAGGGCCACCCCACCAUCAGGCCAGCCAGAACCUUGAAGCCCUAGGGAAGGGCCCAGGGUGUAAGCAGGUUCAUCCAACCCCUGUGUGGUGUGAAGAACUCACUUGACAACUGCGAAGAGGGCACAGACCCCCCCCCCCCCCCCCCAGUCCCAUCUGCAACUGCAUGAAUGCCUGCUGCCUCUUUUCUCAGCUCCCCAUGGGCAAGGAGAAGCAGGCAGUACUCCAUCAAGGACAGCAGUUCUUGGGCAAAGGCAGUGUCUGUGACUGUAGGCUCACUAGCAGGAGCCAUGAGGCUUUCCCUUGGGGCUACCUGUGGCCAGGAACCCACAGGGCUGGUUACAGCAUCCUCAAAUGCCCGUGGGAGAUGCAGGUCAAGCGCAUAAGGCUGCAACAAGUGCCAUUCCCAGCACUGCUAGGUGUUUGACUACAUUCAAAAAUGCCAUCCACAUUUUGAGUUGCUUUUUUUCCUUUUUAUCACAACCUAGAUCGUUUUGUUAUCAGCCCUCUCUCAGUGUCGUCUCUUGAAGGUGGUGGUAGAGGAGGGAUCUGAUUAGUUCGGCUUCCAUUCUCCUGCCACUUGCCUCACCGAUGCAGACAGGAAGCUUCUGAGGACAAGAAAUGUCCCUUAUUACAUGCUUCUGCUCUGGGUAACCUCAUUUUGGUUUGGUGUCUAGACAGCAAUGCAGAGGAGAGCGUUAAUGAAAACGAAGCGCUGAAUUUUAGAAAGUUCUGCUCGACAGCCUCACAGCCACCUCCGCCGAAGAUGGAGCCAAGUCGUUGGGUUUUUAGAGGGUUGGCGUUUGCUGGAACUUUGGAGGGAUUCGUUCUUUUUUCAUUUGGGCUCCAACAAGCAGAUGACCUGAUUUGUGUGUGUACUCAUCACGUCACGCGCCACUUUAGUUAAACGAAGUAGGAAGCAGCAGAAAGAGACAUGCUGACUUUUUUUUUUUUUCAGAAGUUGCUCGGUACUGCUGGAAAAAGAAAAAUAGGUCACUUCAAGUGACCAGUAUGGAAAGAGAUCCCUCACAUUCAAAUUCCCUAACGCUGAGCCUAAGUGGUGUCCCAAAAGAGCAUUUGCUGUUUAUCUAUCUCCGCUUAUAACCGUAUGGGCCAAAUGUUUAUGUGUAUGUGACUUUCCUACAUAGAUACUUCAAGCUGCUAAGUGAUCUCUGUUCUGGCCGUUAUGAAUCUUUGUUUACGUUGCCAUGGCUUUGUAAAAAUGCCAAGAGAGAAUGAGGCUGGCCUCCUGGUAAUGUUUGUUGUGAAGCACUGUUGUAUGCAGACUCUGAUUCAUCAACUUGGGAAUCUUCGAACUUGGUGAUGAAAAAUAAAAAAGAAAACCAACAAAACAGGAAGGAAAACAGUGAAAACUCUGAUGCUCCUUGGGGAAUAUGAAGAGACACAGAUUUCAUUUAAGAUAACAAAAAAAAAAAAAAAAAGAGAAGAAA
Molecule: long non-coding RNA, 7080 nt
Organism: Gallus gallus (chicken)
Lineage: Eukaryota; Metazoa; Chordata; Aves; Galliformes; Phasianidae
Exons: 3
Source: RefSeq, a predicted model, not a curated record